RNAcentral lists this ribosomal RNA (269 nucleotides) under uncultured prokaryote. RNAcentral's name for it is "partial 16S ribosomal RNA". It matches the Rfam family "Bacterial small subunit ribosomal RNA", at positions 524 to 792 of the family's 1533-position model. The record is from RNAcentral.
UACGUAGGGUGCGAGCGUUGUCCGGAUUUACUGGGCGUAAAGGGAGCGUAGGCGGACUUUUAAGUGAGAUGUGAAAUACCCGGGCUCAACUUGGGUGCUGCAUUUCAAACUGGAAGUCUAGAGUGCAGGAGAGGAGAAUGGAAUUCCUAGUGUAGCGGUGAAAUGCGUAGAUAUUAGGAGGAACACCAGUGGCGAAGGCGACUUCCUGGACUGUAACUGACGCUGAGGCGCGAAAGCGUGGGUAGCAAACAGGAUUAGAUACCCGUGUA